Molecule: ribosomal RNA, 508 nt
Filed under: uncultured bacterium
Lineage: Bacteria
Description: partial 16S ribosomal RNA
Rfam family: Bacterial small subunit ribosomal RNA
Source: RNAcentral
AUUGAACGCUGGCGGCAUGCCUUACACAUGCAAGUCGAACGGCAGCGGGGGAGAAGCUUGCUUUUCCUGCCGGCGAGUGGCGAACGGGUGAGUAAUACAUCGGAACGUGCCCUGUAGUGGGGGAUAACUAGUCGAAAGAUUAGCUAAUACCGCAUACGACCUGAGGGUGAAAGUGGGGGACCGCAAGGCCUCAUGCUAUAGGAGCGGCCGAUGUCUGAUUAGCUAGUUGGGGGGGUAAAGGCCUACCAAGGCGACGAUCAGUAGCUGGUCUGAGAGGACGAUCAGCCACACUGGGACUGAGACACAGCCCAGACUCCUACGGGAGGCAGCAGUGGGGAAUCUUGGACAAUGGGCGAAAGCCUGAUCCAGCAAUGCCGCGUGUGUGAAGAAGGCCUUCGGGUUGUAAAGCACUUUUGUCCGGAAAGAAAUGGCUCUGGUUAAUACCUGGGGUCGAUGACGGUACCGGAAGAAUAAGGACCGGCUAACUACGUGCCAGCCGCCGCCGUAA